Molecule: ribosomal RNA, 492 nt
Filed under: uncultured bacterium
Lineage: Bacteria
Description: partial 16S ribosomal RNA
Rfam family: Bacterial small subunit ribosomal RNA
Source: RNAcentral
AGUGAGCGCUGGCGGCAGGCCUAAUACAUGCAAGUCGAACGGCAGCACAGUAUGAGUUCGCUCCUACGGUUGGCGAGUGGCGGACGGGUGAGGAAUACAUCGGAAUCUACUUUUUCGUGGGGGAUAACGUAGGGAAACUUAUGCUAAUACCGCAUAUGAUCUACGGGUGAAAGCAGGGGUUCUUCGGAGCUUGCGUGUCUGAAUGAGCCGAUGUCGGAUUAGCUAGUUGGCGGGGUAAAGGCCCACCAAGGCGACGAUCCGUAGCUGAUCUGAGAGGAUGAUCAGCCACACUGGAACUGAGACACGGUCCAGACUCCUACGGGAGGCAGCAGUGGGGAAUAUUGGACAAUGGGCGCAAGCCUGAUCCAGCCAUGCCGCGUGGGUGAAGAAGGCCUUCGGAUUGUAAAGCCCUUUUGUUAGGAAAGAAAAGCAGCGGAUUAAUACCCCGCUGUUCUGACGGUACCCAAAGAGUAAGCACCGGCUAACUUCGUG